AACCUUUGUUCCGAGUCAUUGUGUUGCAACACCAACUAAUCAUUUCGCCGCAAGUAAAGAGAUUCCAUCCACCAUCUUCAUUGGCCUCCGUUACCAAAUUGCUGCAAAACAAAAUCUACCUCUAGGCUUUUUUUUUUUUGGGUCUCCGAGCAAAGAGAUUCAGUUGUCAGUCCUCCACAUAUUUUGUCUAAUUACUGAGAAUCAUAACUCAAUAAAUCAUCGUAGUGAAGUACUUAACUUUCAGAACAAUGGCAAAACAUCAAAUUCAUUAGGUAAAUGAAUCUUACAACAAAGAGAAGACGCAGCCAUCUACCAAAAAAAAAAGAAGAGAGAGAGAGAAGACGCAACCCGUGGAAAAGAAGAGGAAAUAUCAUUCUUUCCACCUUAUCAGGAAAAGAGAAAAAGGUCCGAGUAGGACUCUGGUCGCUGGCUGCUAAGUGGAAUUUGAUCCCACUUGAUAGUUAGUCCCCAUGUACAUGUUGAAAAGGUCCCCCUCCCCCUGGAUUCAUGCAAUAAAUAAGAAAAUUGGUUUCUCUUCGAUUAUAAAAGGACCAUGGUGAACGUGGGAAGUGUUCCGGACUUGGGACGUGUGGGAGAAAAAGAGAAAAGAAGAAGGAGAAGAGAAAAAGAGCAAGAGAGAGAAAGGAGGAGGGACAAGGGGUAUUUUUUUCACGGGUUUUAUCUUGGUCUCCAUAUCUGAGCGUUCCCUACAUUGACUUCUCCGGAUAUACCCUACAAGAAGCGCAUACUUUGAAUAAU
RNAcentral lists this long non-coding RNA (759 nucleotides) under Elaeis guineensis (African oil palm). Its description in RNAcentral is "long non-coding RNA (EGUI_LNC000998)". The record is from RNAcentral. Lineage: Eukaryota; Viridiplantae; Streptophyta; Magnoliopsida; Arecales; Arecaceae.